Molecule: ribosomal RNA, 274 nt
Filed under: uncultured bacterium
Lineage: Bacteria
Description: partial 16S ribosomal RNA
Rfam family: Bacterial small subunit ribosomal RNA
Source: RNAcentral
AUACGGAGGGUGCAAGCGUUGUUCGGAAUCACUGGGCGUAAAGCGCGCGCAGGCGGUCUUUUAAGUUGGAUGUGAAAGCCUACAGCUCAACUGUAGAACUGCAUCCAAAACUAUUAGACUAGAGUCUGGGAGGGGAAGAUGGAAUUAGUUGUGUAGGGGUAAAGUCCGUAGAGAUAACUAGGAAUACCAAAAGCGAAGGCGAUCUUCUGGAACAGUACUGACGCUGAGGCGCGAAAGCGUGGGGAGCAAACAGGAUUAGAUACCCCGGUAGUCC